Molecule: ribosomal RNA, 408 nt
Filed under: uncultured bacterium
Lineage: Bacteria
Description: partial 16S ribosomal RNA
Rfam family: Bacterial small subunit ribosomal RNA
Source: RNAcentral
GACGAACGCUGGCGGCGUGCUUAACACAUGCAAGUCGAACGGAGUGGCGAACGGGUGAGUAACACGUGGGUGAUCUGCCUUGCACUUCGGGAUAAGCUUGGGAAACUGGGUCUAAUACCGGAUAGUGCAAGAUGAGCUCGCGGCCGAUCAGCUUGUUGGUGGGGUAAUGGCCUACCAAGGCGUCGACGGGUAGCCGGCCUGAGAGGGUGUACGGCCACAUUGGGACUGAGACACGGCCCAGACUCCGACGAGAGUCAGCAGUGAGGAAUAUGUCACAAUGGGCGGAAGCCUGAUACAGCGACGCCGCGUGGGGGAUGAAGGCCUUCUGGUUGUACACUCAAUACGACAGGGACGCGGUACCUGUAUAAGAAGCACCGGCUAACUACGUGCCAGCGGCCGCGGUAAUUC